RNAcentral lists this ribosomal RNA (441 nucleotides) under uncultured bacterium. RNAcentral's name for it is "partial 16S ribosomal RNA". It matches the Rfam family "Bacterial small subunit ribosomal RNA", at positions 338 to 795 of the family's 1533-position model. The record is from RNAcentral.
CCUACGGGUGGCAGCAGUGGGGAAUAUUUCACAAUGGGGGAAACCCUGAUGCAGCAACGCCGCGUGAAGGAAGACGGUUUUCGGAUUGUAAACUUCUGUUCUUAGUGAAGAAUAAUGACGGUAGCUAAGGAGCAAGCCACGGCUAACUACGUGCCAGCAGCCGCGGGAAUACGUAGGUGGCAAGCGGUGGUCGGAAGUACUGGGUGGAAAGGGAGCGCAGGCGGGAAGCCAAGUCAGCUGUGAAAGCUACGGGCUUAACUUGUAGACUGCAGAUGAAACUGGUUGUCUUGAGUGAAGUAGAGGGUGGCGGAAUUCCGAGUGUAGCGGUGAAAUGCGUAGAUAUUCGGAGGAACACCGGUGGCGAAGGCGGCCAACUGGGCUUUAACUGACGCUGAGGCUCGAAAGUGUGGGGAGCAAACAGGAUUAGAUACCCUUGUAGUC